RNAcentral lists this ribosomal RNA (314 nucleotides) under uncultured bacterium. Its description in RNAcentral is "bacterial SSU rRNA". It matches the Rfam family "Bacterial small subunit ribosomal RNA", at positions 28 to 334 of the family's 1533-position model. The record is from RNAcentral.
GAUGAACGCUAGCGGCAGGCUUAACACAUGCAAGUCGAGGGGUAGCGCGCAGGUUAGCAAUAACUUGUGGCGGCGACCGGCGCAAGGGUGCGUAACGCGUGAGCAACUUGCCCGUUUCAGGGGGAUAACCGUUGGAAACGACGCCUAAUACCCCAUGGUAUCACAUUGAGGCAUCUUAAUGUGAUUAAAGAAUUUCGGAAACGGAUAGGCUCGCGUGACAUUGGCUAGACGGCGGGGUAACGGCCCACCGUGGCGACGAUGUCUAGGGGUUCUGAGAGGAAGGUCCCCCACACUGGAACUGAGACACGGUCCAG